GAUGAACGCUGGCGGCGUGCCUAAUACAUGCAAGUCGAGCGAACGGACGAGAAGCUUGCUUCUCUGAUGUUAGCGGCGGACGGGUGAGUAACACGUGGAUAACCUACCUAUAAGACUGGGAUAACUUCGGGAAACCGGAGCUAAUACCGGAUGAUAUUUUGAACCGCAUGGUUCAAAAGUAAAAGACGGUCUUGCUGUCACUUAUAGAUGGAUCCGCGCUGCAUUAGCUAGUUGGUAAGGUAACGGCUUACCAAGGCAACGAUGCAUAGCCGACCGGAGAGGGUGAUCGGCCACCCUGGAACGGAGACACGGUCCAGACUCCUACGGGAGGCAGCAGUAGGGAAUCUUCCGCAAUGGGCGAAAGCCUGACGGAGCAACGCCGCGUGAGUGAUGAAGGUCUUCGGAGCGUAAAACUCUGUUAUUAGGGAAGAACAGAUGUGUAAGUAACUGUGCACAUCUUGACGGUACCUAAUCAGAAAGCCACGGCUAACUACGUG
This 497-nucleotide ribosomal RNA is filed under the name uncultured bacterium. RNAcentral's name for it is "partial 16S ribosomal RNA". It matches the Rfam family "Bacterial small subunit ribosomal RNA", at positions 28 to 507 of the family's 1533-position model. The record is from RNAcentral.